AAAGGGACCUGAACAAGGAUAGUCACUGGGGAACAUCUUACAGAAGCAAAAAGUGGAAACAAUCCCAACUCAGAAGAGUAUAAAGUGAAAUGAAGUCCCUCUGCUACAAUGGCCCUCCGCCCUCCUCCCAGACGUGACUGCGAUUAACAACAGCUGCGCUGGACGGCUUGCGGGAUCUUAGUUCCCCAACCAGGGGCUGAACUGGGCCACAGCGGUGAAAGUGCCGAGUCCUAACCACUGGACCGCCAGGAAAGUCCCCCAGAGGCUAGUCUUGAACGCAUCAUCCUUUGAGGACUGGGGGCGUUUGAGCCAAACAUACCACAAGCUUGAAGUCCUAGGAUGCCUUACCUCAGUGGAGCCUGUGAAGGCCACUUUGUCCACAUCCUCAUGGGAGGCAAUGGCGGCCCCAGCCGUGGGGCCAAAUCCAGGUAUGAUAUUGACGACGCCAGGAGGAAAGCCGGCCUGUAGGCAAACACCAGGGACACUGGGAGUCGUUCUCCCGCUCCAAAGGGUCUGGACAGAGGAAUACACAUCCCCUCCCAGAAGCUGAGGCAGUCUGCCCAGCACACAGGUGAGCAGUCUUACCGGGUACUGCUCAGGAAUUCCAAAUGGUGCAAGGAGGCUGUUUUGUGGGAUUCCCUGUGCCCUUUGCCCCUGCCCCCAUGGCACUCACUUAGAAUGGUUUUCAUUCUUCAGAGGGGUCUUGCAAUGAAACCCAAUGUAGAAGA
Mesoplodon densirostris (Blainville's beaked whale) is the source of this 728-nucleotide long non-coding RNA. RefSeq lists it as uncharacterized. The record is from RefSeq and is a predicted model, not a curated record. NCBI's taxonomy places the organism in Eukaryota, Metazoa, Chordata, Mammalia, Artiodactyla, Ziphiidae. The transcript has 3 exons.